RNAcentral lists this long non-coding RNA (487 nucleotides) under Fukomys damarensis (Damara mole-rat). Its description in RNAcentral is "lncRNA (ENSFDAG00000029685.1)". Lineage: Eukaryota; Metazoa; Chordata; Mammalia; Rodentia; Bathyergidae. The record is from RNAcentral.
UGGCCAUCUCCCCGAUGUGGACCGAGGAUCAGAACAACCCAGCCGUGCACACCUUGGUCUCGGACUUGCCAUCUCCAAGGCUGGGAGGAAAUGAAUCUGAGGCUGAGUCGCCCAGACUAUAACCCCAGCAAAGCAACACAUCAGCCAAAGCAGCUUUUGGAGGUUGUGGUCUGAGGACAUACAGCUUGAUGCUCCUUCAGCCCUUUUGCAACCAAGAGAGGAAGAAGAUAUGGCCAACAUACAGGCCCAGUGCUAGAAGCUUCGGCACAUGCGAUGUCAUCCACACUUAUGACCGCCCGGCCCCGCGUCCUACCGAUGUGGAGGUGCCCUGCACAACUGAACCUGUGUCUGCCCGGCUUCAAAGUCUAUGAGCUUCGCAACUUGGAGACAGUCCACCCCUGUCCUGAAAACAUGUUCAUGUGAUCCUGCUAAGACCCAGUCCCACAUAAGGCAGAACUCAGAUGUCCACCGCCCCUGGCCCAGCCAG